UAAGCAAGGUGUGAAAUCGUACGGCUCAACCGUAUACACAUACUUUGAACUGACAAGCUAGAGUAUAUGAGAGGUCACUGGAAUUCCUAGUGUAGGAGUGAAAUCCGUAGAUAUUAGGAGGAACACCGAUGGCGUAGGCAGGUGACUGGCAUAUUACUGACGCUAAGGCACGAAAGCGUGGGAGCGAACCGGAUUAGAUACCCGGGUAGUCCACGCCGUAAACGAUGGAUGCUA
This 234-nucleotide ribosomal RNA is filed under the name uncultured Candidatus Saccharibacteria bacterium. RNAcentral describes it as "partial 16S ribosomal RNA". It matches the Rfam family "Bacterial small subunit ribosomal RNA", at positions 584 to 818 of the family's 1533-position model. Lineage: Bacteria; Candidatus Saccharimonadota. The record is from RNAcentral.